GACGAACGCUGGCGGCGUGCUUAACACAUGCAAGUCGAACGGAAAGGCCCUGCUUGCAGGGUACUCGAGUGGCGAACGGGUGAGUAACACGUGGGUGAUCUGCCCUGCACUUCGGGAUAAGCCUGGGAAACUGGGUCUAAUACCGGAUAGGAGCCAUUUUUAGUGUGAUGGUUGGAAAGUUUUUUCGGUGUAGGAUGAGCUCGCGGCCUAUCAGCUUGUUGGUGGGGUAAUGGCCUACCAAGGCGGCGACGGGGAGCCGGCCUGGGAGGGUGGACGGCCACAUUGGGACUGGGAUACGGCCCAGACUCCUACGGGGGGCAGCAGUGGGGAAUUUUGGACAAUGGGCGCAAGCCUGAUGCAGGGACGCCGCGGGGGGGAUGACGGCCUUCGGGUUGUAAACUCCUUUCGCUAGGGACGAAGCUUUUUGUGACGGUACCUAGAUAAGAAGCACCGGCUAACUACGUG
RNAcentral lists this ribosomal RNA (465 nucleotides) under uncultured bacterium. Its description in RNAcentral is "partial 16S ribosomal RNA". It matches the Rfam family "Bacterial small subunit ribosomal RNA", at positions 28 to 507 of the family's 1533-position model. The record is from RNAcentral.